Molecule: ribosomal RNA, 403 nt
Filed under: bacterium
Lineage: Bacteria
Description: partial 16S ribosomal RNA
Rfam family: Bacterial small subunit ribosomal RNA
Source: RNAcentral
UGGGGAAUAUUGCACAAUGGGGGAAACCCUGAUGCAGCGACGCCGCGUGAACGAAGAAGGUAUUCGUAUCGUAAAGUUCUGUCCUAUGGGAAGAAAAUGACAGUACCAUAGAAGAAAGCUCCGGCUAAAUACGUGCCAGCAGCCGCGGUAAUACGUAUGGAGCGAGCGUUGUCCGGAAUUAUUGGGCGUAAAGGGUACGCAGGCGGUUUAAUAAGUCGAAUGUUAAAGAUCGGGGCUCAACCCCGCAAAGCAUUGGAAACUGAUAAACUUGAGUAGUGGAGAGGAAAGUGGAAUUCCUAGUGUAGUGGUGAAAUACGUAGAUAUUAGGAGGAAUACCAGUAGCGAAGGCGACUUUCUGGACACAAACUGACGCUGAGGUACGAAAGCGUGGGGAGCAAACAGG